UGAAAUACAAAGUGCGAACCAGAUAUAUGCCCCGGAGAGGGAGUACGGGAUGCAAUGUAAAAUUGUGAAAGCCUCGAGUAAACUUUAUGUUACAUAAUGAUGAACAUAUUUUAUGUGUACUUUGAAUUGUGAAUCUUCACCACAUAGAUACAGAACAUCCACACGUUAAAGCCUCAUGAAAACCCUCCAGUCAUUGUUUGUUCUCAUAUUAUUUCUGAACCAGACUUUAUUUAUGAAUUGAUGUAACAGUACAAAAUUAAAACAUUCAUGAUUCUGAAAAUGAUAUUUUCAAAGCCACAUUUUUUACUAAUAAUGUGUUAAGCAUUGACGGUUGCUAUGAAAUGCUUAAUGUGAUUUAGCAACACUCACCCAUUUGAAAUCAAAUGCCAGAUGAGUUUCUUCCUGAGUAGAAAGGUGACAUGAAUGCUCCUGUGAUGUAUUGUUGCCCUCCAGGAAAGGCAGUAGGUUGUAUAGUUAACUCCCGAUGGGGUAAAAUAACAACCCUGAAACCACACAACCUACUACCUCACCCUGUACGAGCACCAUGAAGUGUACUCAUCUUGUCUCUGUGUGCACCUAUUGUGUAAAUACAGCAAGGUUAGUUUUGAUAACAUUGGAGAUAAAAGAUAUACUCAGAAGAUUGUCAGCUAAUCAAAGAUCCUUUGUGCCGAUGAAGGCGCCGCCAUUACUGCCGCUUCAGGAAAGACAGUAAGUUGUAUAGUCAUCUGACAGCUUGGGAAUGACCCUAAAACUAUACAACCUACUACCUCACCCCAAAGGGCCGUUGAUCUGCCACAGUUGUCUCUCGUAUCCCGCGGCUGAUGGUCGAUCUGGGAGAACAAACUCAGAAGACCGAAGGCCCUUCUCAUACAAGUUAAUCGAAUGAAAAUAGCUUCUCUAUUUUGAUGGCUGAAAAGUGUGACUCACAUUAUUUCUCGUGUGUUAUUGUAUUGUAUAUUUUGUGGGUUGAUUUUUAUUCACUUUAAACAUGGUCUCAGAAGUUUCAAUAACUUUAGAACUAAGAAAUAAAAAAGAAAGUUUCCUUAUUCCUAGUACUCUAAUUCAGUUAUAGCUUUCAUCAAUUUUGUCAAAACGUGACGUGACCCCGAGAACCUGAACAUAUGGACUGAUUAAACUGCAGCAGUGUAUUUUGUCUUCAUGUCUUAAUUGUGGCACAUCAAAGAAUGCUGUCAGAAUACUUCCUGCGCUUACGCCUUACGUCAGCUUGUCUCAUUAGUUUGUCAGCUCUCCUCCUCUCGGGUUUCCUCGGCCUGAUGGAGACAGAUGAGAGGAGAGAGUGAGCUCCUGCAGUGCGCCAAAAGGUCAAACUUUCACCUCUUGUCUUACACAUAAGGACUGCGCGAGAACCAGCACGGUCACACGAGUAAAACACAACAAACAGGGAAAUCGGUAUAUGGUCUGGGUAUUACCUACGGCGACACACUACCCCAUUAAUUUAAAACCAGUCAGGUAAAUCCUCUGUGAUCCGUCAUGCGAAACAAUGCUAUGCAUGUCAAAUGAGCAGAAAUCUGUAUGUCCGUCCGGGAGGCGGUGGUUGUUUCAGAGGUUCCUG
Long non-coding RNA from Gasterosteus aculeatus aculeatus (three-spined stickleback), 1573 nucleotides. NCBI's taxonomy places the organism in Eukaryota, Metazoa, Chordata, Actinopteri, Perciformes, Gasterosteidae. The record is from Ensembl.